RNAcentral lists this ribosomal RNA (521 nucleotides) under bacterium RA5-4. Its description in RNAcentral is "partial 16S ribosomal RNA". It matches the Rfam family "Bacterial small subunit ribosomal RNA", at positions 32 to 525 of the family's 1533-position model. The record is from RNAcentral.
UNNAACGCUGGCCGGCAGGCCUAANUCAUGCAAGUCGNCCGGCAAACGACACNANCAAUCCUUCGGGNUGCNUUAAUGGGCGUCGAGCGGCGGACGGGUGAGUAAUGCCUAGGAAAUUGCCUUGAUGUGGGGGAUAACCAUUGGAAACGAUGGCUAAUACCGCAUAAUGCCUACGGGCCAAAGAGGGGGAUCUUCGGACCUCUCGCGUCAAGAUAUGCCUAGGUGGGAUUAGCUAGUUGGUGAGGUAAUGGCUCACCAAGGCGACGAUCCCUAGCUGGUCUGAGAGGAUGAUCAGCCACACUGGAACUGAGACACGGUCCAGACUCCUACGGGAGGCAGCAGUGGGGAAUAUUGCACAAUGGGCGAAAGCCUGAUGCAGCCAUGCCGCGUGUAUGAAGAAGGCCUUCGGGUUGUAAAGUACUUUCAGUUGUGAGGAAGGGGGUAACGUUAAUAGCNUNANCUCUUGACGUUAGCAACAGAAGAAGCACCGGCUAACUCCGUGCCAGCAGCCGCGGNUAAUA